UGGAGGCAGCAGUGGGGAAUUUUGCGCAAUGGGGGAAACCCUGACGCAGCAACGCCGCGUGAGUGAUGAAGGCCUUCGGGUCGUAAAGCUCUGUCAGAGGGAAAGAAGUGUAUGGUGGUUAAUACCCAUCUUACUUGACGGUACCCUCAAAGGAAGCACCGGCUAACUCCGUGCCAGCAGCCGCGGUAAUACGGAGGGUGCAAGCGUUGUUCGGAUUUAUUGGGCGUAAAGCGCGUGUAGGCGGCUCCUUAAGUCUGAUGUGAAAGCCCCGGGCUCAACCUGGGAAGUGCAUUGGAAACUGGGGAACUUGAAUACGGGAGAGGGUAGUGGAAUUCCUGGUGUAGGAGUGAAAUCCGUAGAUAUCAGGAGGAACACCGGUGGCGAAGGCGGCUGCCUGGACCGAUAUUGACGCUGAGACGCGAAAGCGUGGGGAGCAAACAGGAUUAGAAACCCGGGUAGUCCG
Molecule: ribosomal RNA, 463 nt
Filed under: uncultured bacterium
Lineage: Bacteria
Description: bacterial SSU rRNA
Rfam family: Bacterial small subunit ribosomal RNA
Source: RNAcentral